RNAcentral lists this long non-coding RNA (482 nucleotides) under Pongo abelii (Sumatran orangutan). RNAcentral describes it as "lincRNA". The record is from RNAcentral. Lineage: Eukaryota; Metazoa; Chordata; Mammalia; Primates; Hominidae.
GAGGUGGGAGUCUACUGAGGUGAGGUAUGGUGCUGGGUGCAGAUGCAAUGUGGCUCUGGAUAGCACCUUAUGGACAGUUGUGUCCCAAAGGAAGGAUGAGAAUAGCUACUGAAGUCCUAAAGAGCAAGCCUAACUCAAGCCAUUGGCACACCGGUAUGGAGAGUCGGCUUGACUACACUGUGUGGAGCAAGUUUUAAAGAAGCAAAGGACUCAGAAUUCAUGCUUGAAGAAAUGCAGGCAGACCUGUUAUCCUAAACUAGGGUUUUUAAUGACCACGACAAGCAAGCAUGCAGCUUACUGCUUGAAAGGGUCUUGCCUCACCCAAGCUGGAGUGCAGUGGCCUCUGAAGCUUACUACAGCCUCAAACUUCUGGGCUCAAGUGAUCCUCAGCCUCCCAAUGGUCUUUGUAGACUGCCUGAUGGAGUCUCAUGGCACAAGAAGAUUAAAACAAUGCUCCAAUUUUAAUAAAUUUUUGCAAUCCA